RNAcentral lists this ribosomal RNA (253 nucleotides) under uncultured bacterium. RNAcentral's name for it is "partial 16S ribosomal RNA". It matches the Rfam family "Bacterial small subunit ribosomal RNA", at positions 524 to 776 of the family's 1533-position model. The record is from RNAcentral.
UACAUGGGGUGCAAACGUUGCUCGGAAUUAUUGGGCGUAAAGCGCGCGUAGGCGGUUAUCUAAGUCGGAUGUGAAAGCCCUCGGCUUAACUGAGGAAGUGCACCCGAAACUGGGUAGCUAGAGUACUAAAGAGGGUCGCGGAAUUCCCGGUGUAGAGGUGAAAUUCGUAGAUAUCAGGAAGAACACCCGUGGCUAAGGCGGCUCUCUAGUACGGUACUGACGCUGAGACGCGAAAGCGUGGGGAGCGAACAGG